AUCCCAUGGUGAGGACAAGCUCUUGUAUACCCUUUAAUACGCUCACAUGCCUCAUACAAACUCUCUUCUUCGCCUUGCUCAAAUCUAGGUAUAUCGUUCCUUAUCUU
Arabis alpina (gray rockcress) is the source of this 107-nucleotide small nucleolar RNA. It matches the Rfam family "Plant small nucleolar RNA R71". From Rfam's summary of the family: R71 is a member of the C/D box family of snoRNAs containing the C (UGAUGA) and D (CUGA) box motifs. Multiple nearly identical copies of this snoRNA have been identified in Arabidopsis, and it is thought to function as a 2'-O-ribose methylation guide for 18S ribosomal RNA. The record is from Rfam. NCBI's taxonomy places the organism in Eukaryota, Viridiplantae, Streptophyta, Magnoliopsida, Brassicales, Brassicaceae.